RNAcentral lists this transfer RNA (75 nucleotides) under Sphingobacteriales bacterium TSM_CSM. RNAcentral describes it as "tRNA-Lys". It matches the Rfam family "tRNA". From Rfam's summary of the family: Transfer RNA (tRNA) molecules are approximately 80 nucleotides in length. Their secondary structure includes four short double-helical elements and three loops (D, anti-codon, and T loops). Lineage: Bacteria; Pseudomonadati; Bacteroidota; Sphingobacteriia; Sphingobacteriales. RNAcentral also lists the same sequence under 1 other name. The record is from RNAcentral.
GCGUCCGUAGCUCAAUCAGGUAGUAGCACCGCACUUUUAAUGCGGGGGUUGUGGGUUCAAUUCCCACCGGGCGUA